AAAUACAUUAAUUGAAGAGAAAAGACAAAAAUCCUAAAAGAUAGGUUAAUUAAUAACUUCAGUGGCAUGCUAUUGUAAAUAUAGUGGAAAACUAAGGGAUAAUCUAAUUUUGUACUCCUCUUUUAAUAGAUUAGAUGGUCAUUUUUCCUUUUUGAAGGCUAGUUUUACUAAAAAACUAUCAGAAUUUCUCUAAAAAGUUUUAAUAAUAAAAUAGAUUAAAGGAUUAAAUAUUUGACUUGGAUCACCGAAAUUAAAAUUUGUUUUGAUUUUGGCGAAGAGAAUACCAAAAUCUAGGCAUGUGACAAAAUAUAAUGAGCGAGUCAAAGUCAAUUAAUCAGAGUGAUGUGAUUGGUUCUUUAUCAUGCAAGUGUAACGCCAUAAACGAUUUGGCCGAUGAGUAUAAUAGUAAAAUGGUUAUAAACCCCCCCUCCCCCCCCCCCCCCCCCAAUAAGAAUCCAAGACGAACGCGCGGCGCGUUUGUAGCUCAUAUGUAUCCCCGGAUCCCGCCUUUUGCUUUUCACCCAUCAUUUAAAAACUCUCUCUCUCUCUCUUCGCUGGCUUAGACGAGGAACAAGAAUUGGAGAAAAUUUUGUCUGGGCCCUGAGAAUCUAGGGUUUAGAUUUCAUUCUGCCGUUCUCCGAUUCGAUUCUAUAAUCUUAUUUCAUCUGGCACGGAUCAUAAAUUAACUCAUUGGUGAUUAAUGGUUUAGACCUUUCAUUGUGGAAUUGAACAGAGUUGAAUGAUGGAAGAUGUCUUAAUGAGUGGUUGAUUAAUUCUGGUUCUGAUAGUCCGUUUAUAUUCGGAUGGCUUGUUACUGGAUUACUUGGGCAUCCACCUGCUGCGUUUGUCUCUACUCUCUUGUUCCAGGCCAGAAUGUUUCCAAAAAGGCAGCUCUGAGUAUUCCUGUCAACACUAAAGUCAUCAGAGACAACUGUUGUUUCUGGUUACAGUGUAAUGCUUCUUGAACUCGUUUUGGUCAACGCACCGUCUACUUUUCCCGCUGGGAGGAAGAAGAAAAAAAUCAUUCUCUUGCUUGAUUAUGCAAAGACUUGAAUUGUCUGACAAGACUGAAACCUAAUCUUUAGUUGUUGGAUUCCUAUGCAGUGGCUAUUCUCUGCGCACAAACCUAACCCAGAAUAUAGACUUUCUGGAGUGGUUUAAAGCUGCUUCAAAGGAUUGGUAGUUUAAGAUGAUAGCUGAGAGAGAUGAGUGAGUGAGUGAGUGGGAACAGGUUGAAGAAGUUGGACUUAUAAAGUAAUAUCUCGACAUGCUAGUUGUAUUGAAACACUACAUUUAUUUGUGUGACAUAAACUAGUUGUGUGUUUGUAUAUAAUCAAUGAAUAUUGUGGUAUACUGGUAUGA
Long non-coding RNA from Brassica rapa (field mustard), 1362 nucleotides. RefSeq lists it as uncharacterized. The record is from RefSeq and is a predicted model, not a curated record. NCBI's taxonomy places the organism in Eukaryota, Viridiplantae, Streptophyta, Magnoliopsida, Brassicales, Brassicaceae.